UUGAGAGUUUGAUCCUGGCUCAGAACGAACGCUGGCGGCACGCCUAACACAUGCAAGUCGAACGAGAAGGCACCUUCGGGUGUUGGACAGUGGCGGACGGGUGAGUAACACGUGGGAAUAUACCUUUUGGUUCGGGACAACGCUUGGAAACGAGUGCUAAUACCGGAUACGCCCUAUGGGGGAAAGAUUUAUCGCCAAGAGAUUGGCCCGCGCUAGAUUAGCUAGUUGGUGAGGUAAUGGCUCACCAAGGCGACGAUCUAUAGCUGGUUUGAGAGGAUGAUCAGCCACACUGGGACUGAGACACGGCCCAGACUCCUACGGGAGGCAGCAGUGGGGAAUAUUGGACAAUGGGGGCAACCCUGAUCCAGCGAUGCCGCGUGAGUGAUGAAGGCCUUAGGGUUGUAAAACUCUUUCAGAUGGGAAGAUAAUGACGGUACCAUCAGAAGAAGCUCCGGCUAACUCCGUGCCAGCAGCCGCGGUAAUACGGAGGGAGCUAGCGUUGUUCGGAAUUACUGGGCGUAAAGCGCGCGUAGGCGGCUUGGCAAGUUGGGGGUGAAAUCCCGGGGCUUAACCUCGGAACUGCCUCCAAAACUGCUGAGCUAGAAUCCUGGAGAGGUGAGUGGAAUUCCUAGUGUAGAGGUGAAAUUCGUAGAUAUUAGGAAGAACACCAGUGGCGAAGGCGACUCACUGGACAGGUAUUGACGCUGAGGUGCGAAAGCGUGGGGAGCGAACAGGAUUAGAUACCCUGGUAGUCCACGCCGUAAACGAUGGAUACUAGCUGUCCGGAUGCAAAUCUGGGCGGCCAAGCGAAAGUGAUAAGUAUCCCACCUGGGGAGUACGUCCGCAAGGAUGAAACUCAAAGGAAUUGACGGGGGCCCGCACAAGCGGUGGAGCAUGUGGUUUAAUUCGAUGAUACGCGAGGAACCUUACCAGGGCUUAAAUGUGGUCUGACAGCUUUAGAGAUAGAGCCUCCUUCGGGCAGAUCACAAGGUGCUGCAUGGUUGUCGUCAGCUCGUGCCGUGAGGUGUCAGGUUAAGUCCUAUAACGAGCGCAACCCCUGCCGUUAGUUGCCAGCAUGUAAAGAUGGGGACUCUAACGGGACUGCCGGUGCAAACCGCGAGGAAGGUGGGGAUGACGUCAAAUCAUCACGGCCCUUACGUCCUGGGCCACACACGUGCUACAAUGGCCGGUACAGAGAGCAGCCACUGGGCAACCAGGAGCGAAUCUAUAAAACCGGUCACAGUUCGGAUCGGGGUCUGCAACUCGACCCCGUGAAGCUGGAAUCGCUAGUAAUCGGAUAUCAGCCAUGAUCCGGUGAAUACGUUCCCGGGCCUUGUACACACCGCCCGUCAAGCCAUGGAAGCCGGGAGUGCCUGAAGUCCGUCACCGCAAGGAGCGGCCUAGGGCAAGAUCGGUAACUAGGGCUAAGUCGUAACAAGGUAGCCGUACCGGAAGGUGCGGCUGGAACACCUCCUU
This 1476-nucleotide ribosomal RNA is filed under the name Sexangularia sp. CB-2014. Its description in RNAcentral is "Bacterial small subunit ribosomal RNA". It matches the Rfam family "Bacterial small subunit ribosomal RNA". Lineage: Eukaryota; Tubulinea; Elardia; Arcellinida. The record is from RNAcentral.